This 690-nucleotide long non-coding RNA is filed under the name Rattus norvegicus (Norway rat). Its description in RNAcentral is "long non-coding RNA NONRATT003279". The record is from RNAcentral. Lineage: Eukaryota; Metazoa; Chordata; Mammalia; Rodentia; Muridae.
AGAGGAAUCUGUGAGCACACAGCCCUGGAAGAUGGAGACCACUGGGUCAGAGGCGGGUGUAUACCUUUCACAGAACAUCAAGACCAGCCCCUGGACUAUUGGGGCCACGGGAAUAUCAUGAAAGGUUGGUCUGAGAGGGACCAUACCCGUUUUACCUUUCAGAAAAGAUUUUCAAUCUAGUUUAAAACCCAGUUUGGCUACAUAACAUAGAAACCCCACAUUGCUAGUCUCACGCCCGGCAUCUGGGUGUUCAGUUUAAGUAAGACAAACAGGCCGUGAUAAAGCCCGAGAAAGGCAGGGCUCUGAAGAACGCUCAGCGAUGGGUUUAGGGGCUCGGAGGCCUCUGCUAUAAAUUUCUCCGGUCGCGAGGAGGCCACCCACACCACUUUACGUGGCUCUCUGAAUGGCGGUCCCUGUGGUCUUCAAAGUUGUGACCCUGGACACCCCCUCUCGAUCAUACAACCUAACAUCUCAAUCCAGUCGCUAGCACCCCAAACGAUUUUUAAAACAACUGCAUACAAGGGCUCUGUUUAGCGCCACAGGGGUCCUUAGAAGACGCGCGCUUAAAGUCUGGUAAGCCUGGGGGGCCCUGAGCGCAGGGAGCCGGCUCCCUUCCGGGGACAGCGCUUAGAUGUUGCGGGUCAUGGCCAAGGAAUCCAGCCCAGAUGCUGGCUAGUCUCGCGCGGCCGC